Solanum stenotomum is the source of this 985-nucleotide long non-coding RNA. RefSeq lists it as uncharacterized. The record is from RefSeq and is a predicted model, not a curated record. The transcript is spliced from 3 exons. NCBI's taxonomy places the organism in Eukaryota, Viridiplantae, Streptophyta, Magnoliopsida, Solanales, Solanaceae.
CAUUCCUGUAGCGACCCCAAGUCAUUUAUGACUUGCUGGCACUGACUGUUCGGUCGCCUGGUCGUUCGUUUGGGUUUUAGGCCCGCUUUCCUGUUUUGGAGAUUUUUAUAACUUGAAAAGUUGACUUUGGUCAACCUUCUUGGAAGUCGUGCUCAGAUGAAAAUUCUGACGGCUAGGUUAGCUUCGGAAGAUCGAUUUUGGUCUAGAACGACCCUUUGUUCACUUCCCGAGAUUUUAAAUAGCAGUUGUGGAAUCUGGUUCAAAACGAUACUGGAUGUGGGACCCACUUUUCGUCGAAGCGAGCUUCAAAUGGAAAUUCCGCCUUCACUGUUGAGUCCGAAAUAUCAUUUCCAAUCAGAUUCCAUAUAAGGUUUGUAUUUUUCCGACUUCGAACGAGUCCGAAACAUCGAAAUUUAAGUUUGAAGGGUUGUAGAAUUUUGAAGCGGCGGUGACGUGGCAGAGCCACGUGACGACACGUGGCAGAGGAGUGAAAUCUGGAAAUUUCCAGAAUUUAAGACGAAAUUCGUCCAUUUUUUUUCCUUCAACUUCAACUUGAGAUUGCUCCUUCAUUUUUAGUCCAAAUUAAGUGAUUCAAAAGGCAAACUUCAAGAGAAUUUCGAGGGGAAUCUAGCGGUGGUCUCAGAAACGCGAGGGGAGGCUUCAUUUGAGUGGGGAAGCAUUUGGAGACCGUUCGGAGAGGAAAAGAUCCAAUACCGUGAGUUGGAGCACGCGUGAUCGGCUUUCAGGUCCGAGCACUAGUAACCAGCGUUGAUCGAGCUUAGAGUAGACUUAUCCGGAGACGGGGGUGAGCACACGGCGUUUUGUACUAUUUCAGUCUCCAUCUGUAUAUAUAGACUUGUCUUUUUCCUUUCGAGACAGUCCAGUCUCUGUUGUCCAGUUUUGGGACUUGUACUCAUUUUGUAGUAGCUCUGUACUAGUGACUUCCAGAUUCUAGGAGAGAUCUUUAUUUGUAUAUAUGUUUUUG